AAUACACAUCAGAAUGAUUUUCAUUUCUGUCUUUUCAAUUUUGCUUACAGAUGCAGUUCAGGAAGUUCAGGCUGACUGGAAAGUGCAUAUAAAAAUGCAAUCAUUAUUCAAGGUAGAUGAAACCAGUCUUUUCACCCUUUAGUUUCCACCAGAGAACCAGGUGGUUCAGUCUCCACGAAAAGUGCGUGUCAUGAUGGUUCUUAAGACUGCCUGUCAGUGGUGCUUGGUGAACUCUGGGGAUCUUCUUGGCUCACUUCAGCUAUCUCGUAUACUGUGCAUGGAGGAUGAAGAAGCUACUGAGGCCUUGGAAUGGUUCUUCAGUGUAGAGUUCAUAGAAGACAAUCUUGUAGAGCCACUGAUAUUUGUUUUUACAUUUAUGUAGGACAUUUCGGUGCUGCCCUUGUCCACCCUCCAAGAACUGUAUACAUCUAGAGCAGGGGUGGGGAACCUUGAUCCUGGAGGGCCACUGUCCUGCAGUGUUUAUCGCCAACCCAAUCAAACACACCUGAACCAGCUCAUUAAAGUCAUCAGAGUUACUAGAAACUUCACAACAGGAGUGUGUUUGAGCUAGUUGGAGCUAAACUCUGCAGGACAGUGGCCCUCCAGGAUCAAAGUUCCCCACCUCUGAUCUCGAGUAAGAAAAGCCAUCAUCUCUUUGAACUGUUGCUGUCUGGUCGGCGCUAAAGAGCAAUAAAUCACCAAAACAACCAGACACAAAAAAAAAGUUUCUUCCCUCACGCAAUCUACGCAAUGAACAGUUAAAUGUUCUACCCACUGUGCAAUUAAUAACAUUGUGCAAUAGUAACAAUGUGUAAUAGUAAUUAUAGCCACCUGAUAAUAUAAUUUUUGUGUAAAUAUUUUUUUGUUAUGCUGUAUAGAUCACAUAUUUUGUACAUACAAUAUAUACACAAAUAGUUUUACACUGUCUUAUUUUUAUUCUAUUCUUUUUUAUAUAUAGAUAACCUGUGUGUUGCUGUUUUUGUGCACUGGAUGCUUCUUUCACCAAAACAAAUUUCUUGUAUGGGCAGAUAGCCUAUAUUUCGCAAUAAAGCUCUUUCUGGUUCUGUAUUUUUAGAGAAUGUCACGAACGGGUGGUGAGACAAGGAGAGAGGACCCAAACGCAGACAGCGGGUAAGGGGUAUUAACAAGACAUGUAUUAACAAAAAUACAAAACAAAGGCCCACGUGGGGGUAACAUAACAAAACAGGGGAAUCUACAACAGGACAGGACUAAGACUAAUUACACCUAACAAGACUAAGAUUAACAUAAACAUGAACUACAAAUGACUACGCUAGACUGACACGGAACAGGCACUCACCAUACAAGUGACACAUACACGCACAAUGAACCAGCACAGGACAGAGAACAAAGGGGCAUUAAAUAAGGGAUCAAAUCAAGAGGGGACAGGUGUAGGGCAUGAAACCAAUAAUGAGGAGACGAGAGGGCUGGAACAGAGAUGAGACCAGAGAGAGUAUGGCAAGCCAAAAGGGCCAAAACUCCUCUAUCCACAUGAAACAAGAGGUUCUGUCAUGCUUCUGCCACUAGAUCAAUAACAGCAAGACGAGAUGGGGCAGAACCAUGACAGAGAAUGCGGUGGACAACAUGCAUCUCAGAAUCUUUUGUCAAGCACAAAAUUGAAAAAGAAAAAAUUUAAUGUAAUGAUUUUAUAUUAUACAUGGAAAAGUUUUAUUUAAUUAUGUAAUAAUGUUAAUUAGUAAUGUAUAUUGCCAUUAUAACCUUUUACGUGGGCACAUAUGCAAAGUAAUCUGACAUUUUUAGUGUAGAUGUUCAAUAAUGUCUUUCAGCUGUAACUGUAUAUAAAUCCCGGCCGUGACCUGAAUCGCCAGUCUUUAUGGUACUCUUAAAAAGAAAAAAAUAAUAAUUAUUUAAAAAUAAUGAUUUUAGACUCCACUUCAUGAAAUACUUUUUCAUUUUCAUGUAUUUUCAGGCGGUUUUAACAGGAAGUUAUUUUAUAUCAUGCCGUUAGUUUGCACACAGUAUUUUGACCCACUGCAAAGUACGCAUGUGUGGCUGAGAGUGCAUGUGUCUAAGUGCGCAUACACGGCUGAGAGUGCAUGUGCGGCUGCGAGAGUGCAUGUGCGGCUGUGAGAAGGGUCUGCAGCCAUCUUUGUGCGCAAGAUAAAUGGCAGGCAGUCCGUGCAUGUCAUUAAUGCUGCGCACAUUCGAGUUAUGCUCUAUGGAUCAUCAGUACUGUUGUGCGUUUUCGUUAUGACGUAUUGCUAUGGAUCAUUUUGUUAUGCUCUAUUGCAAUGAAUUUGCAUUAUUUUUGCACAUUCUCGUUAUGCUGUAUUUUG
Molecule: long non-coding RNA, 2315 nt
Organism: Triplophysa rosa
Lineage: Eukaryota; Metazoa; Chordata; Actinopteri; Cypriniformes; Nemacheilidae
Exons: 3
Source: RefSeq, a predicted model, not a curated record